GCGGGAAUAACUCAGUUGGUAGAGUGCCAGCUUCCCAAGCUGGAUGUCGCGGGUUCGAACCCCGUUUCCCGCUCCA
This 76-nucleotide transfer RNA is filed under the name Labilithrix sp. RNAcentral's name for it is "tRNA-Gly". It matches the Rfam family "tRNA". Rfam says of the family: Transfer RNA (tRNA) molecules are approximately 80 nucleotides in length. RNAcentral also lists the same sequence under 3 other names. The record is from RNAcentral. Lineage: Bacteria; Pseudomonadati; Myxococcota; Polyangiales; Labilitrichaceae.